Molecule: small nucleolar RNA, 77 nt
Organism: Manis pentadactyla (Chinese pangolin)
Lineage: Eukaryota; Metazoa; Chordata; Mammalia; Pholidota; Manidae
Product: small nucleolar RNA SNORD115
Exons: 1
Source: RefSeq, a predicted model, not a curated record
GGGUCGGUGACGAGAGCUCAUAUUGUCUUGAAGACGAUGACCUAAAAACCAUGCUCAAUAGGAUUACGCUGGGGCCC